UACAGAGGUCCCGAGCGUUGUUCGGAUUCAUUGGGCGUAAAGGGUGCGUAGGCGGCUUCCUAAGUUUGAUGUGAAAUCCUGGGGCUCAACCCUGGAACUGCAUUGAAUACUGGGAGGCUAGAGUACUGGAGAGGAAACUGGAAUUUACGGUGUAGCAGUGAAAUGCGUAGAGAUCGUAAGGAAGACCAGUGGCGAAGGCGAGUUUCUGGACAGUUACUGACGCUGAGGUGCGAAAGCGUGGGGAGCAAACAGG
RNAcentral lists this ribosomal RNA (253 nucleotides) under uncultured bacterium. Its description in RNAcentral is "partial 16S ribosomal RNA". It matches the Rfam family "Bacterial small subunit ribosomal RNA", at positions 524 to 776 of the family's 1533-position model. The record is from RNAcentral.